Molecule: ribosomal RNA, 1115 nt
Filed under: Bacillus sp. 9FB4
Lineage: Bacteria; Bacillati; Bacillota; Bacilli; Caryophanales; Bacillaceae
Description: bacterial SSU rRNA
Rfam family: Bacterial small subunit ribosomal RNA
Source: RNAcentral
AGUCGAGCGGACAGAAGGGAGCUUGCUCCUGGAUGUUAGCGGCGGACGGGUGAGUAACACGUGGGUAACCUGCCUGUAAGACUGGGAUAACUCCGGGAAACCGGAGCUAAUACCGGAUAGUUCCUUGAACCGCAUGGUUCAAGGUUGAAAGAGGGUUUCGGCUGUCACUUACAGAUGGACCCGCGGCGCAUUAGCUAGUUGGUGGGGUAAUGGCUCACCAAGGCGACGAUGCGUAGCCGACCUGAGAGGGUGAUCGGCCACACUGGUACUGAGACACGGCCCAUACUCCUACGGGAGGCAGCAGUAGGGAAUCUUCCGCAAUGGACGAAAGUCUGACGGAGCAACGCCGCGUGAGUGAUGAAGGUUUUCGGAUCGUAAAGCUCUGUUGUUAGGGAAGAACAAGUGCGAGAGUAACUGCUCGCACCUUGACGGUACCUAACCAGAAAGCCACGGCUAACUACGUGCCAGCAGCCGCGUUAAUACGUAGGUGGCAAGCGUUGUCCGGAAUUAUUGGCGUAAAGGGCUCGCAGGCGGUUUCUUAAGUCUGAUGUGAAAGCCCCGGCUCAACCGGGGAGGGUCAUUGGAAACUGGGAAACUUGAGUGCAGAAGAGGAGAGUGGAAUUCCACGUGUAGCGGUGAAAUGCGUAGAGAUGUGGAGGAACACCAGUGGCGAAGGCGACUCUCUGGUCUGUAACUGACGCUGAGGAGCGAAAGCGUGGCGAGCGAACAGGAUUAGAUACCCUGUAGUCCACGCCGUAAACGAUGAGUGCUAAGUGUUAGGGGGUUUCCGCCCCUUAGUGCUGCAGCUAACGCAUUAAGCACUCCGCCUGGGAGUACGGUCGCAAGACUGAAACUCAAAGAAAUUGACGGGGGCCCGCACAAGCGGUGCAGCAUGUGGUUUAAUUCGAAGCAACGCGAAGAACCUUACAGGUCUGACAUCAUCUGACUACCCUAGAGAUAGGGCUUUCCCUUCGGACAGAGUGACAGUGUGCAUGAUUGUCGUCAGCUCGUGUACGUGAGAUGUAGGAUCAAGUUCCCGUACGAGCGCAGCGUUGAUCUAGUGCAGCAUCAGUGGGCACUCAAGCUGACUGCGUGACAAACGAGUAGGUCGGAUG